GCACCACAAGAACGCGUGGAGCAUGUGGCUUAAUUUGACUCAACGCGGGAAAUCUUACCGGGUCCGGACACACUGAGGAUUGACAGGCAAUAUCUCAUGGUUAUUAACCCGGUUAUUACAUUUUGUUUAAUCGGUUAUUAAGCAUCGAGUGUUAAAUAUGCUAGUCCUUUCAUGAUUAUGUGAUAGGUGGUGCAUGGCCGUUCUUAGUUCGUGGAGUGAUCUGUCUGCUUAAUUGCGUUUCACUAAGGGCCCAUAAAUUCAAGGUAUGUUAGCUAUCGUCGCUCUAUGGACCCCUUAUACUCGAUUUCGCUUUAAUUAGCGUUAUUUGUUUAAGCGCGCGUCUUUAUUUAAUGAGUUUAAGACACUGCGCAUGCUGUUGGGCUCUGAAAGCAACGAACGUGACCGCAACGUCUUGUUGCCUUAAUAAAGUUGGCUUUAAAUACAAAUUCGUAUUUAAACCGCUUACAGAGGCUAUUUAAAACUAGACGGACCGCUGUUUCUUUUCUUAAACCAGAGGAAGGUUGCGGCAAUAACAGGUCUGUGAUGC
Molecule: ribosomal RNA, 547 nt
Filed under: Neogloboquadrina pachyderma
Lineage: Eukaryota; Foraminifera; Rotaliida; Globorotaliidae
Description: bacterial SSU rRNA
Rfam family: Eukaryotic small subunit ribosomal RNA
Source: RNAcentral